RNAcentral lists this ribosomal RNA (253 nucleotides) under uncultured bacterium. Its description in RNAcentral is "partial 16S ribosomal RNA". It matches the Rfam family "Bacterial small subunit ribosomal RNA", at positions 524 to 776 of the family's 1533-position model. The record is from RNAcentral.
UACGGGGGGGGCAAGCGUUGUUCGGAAUUACUGGGCGUAAAGGGCUCGUAGGCGGCCAACUAAGUCAGACGUGAAAUCCCUCGGCUUAACCGGGGAACUGCGUCUGAUACUGGAUGGCUCGAGUUUGGGAGAGGGAUGCGGAAUUCCAGGUGUAGCGGUGAAAUGCGUAGAUAUCUGGAGGAACACCGGUGGCGAAGGCGGCUCUCUGGACAGUGACUGACGCUGAGACGCGAAAGCGUGGGUAGCAAACAGG